UACGUAGGUGACAAGCGUUGUCCGGAUUUACUGGGCGUAAAGAGCGCGCAGGCGGUCGUACAAGUCGCGUGUGAAAGCCCCCGGCUCAACUGGGGAGGGUCACGCGAUACUGUUCGACUCGAAGGCAGGAGAGGGAAGUGGAAUUCCCGGUGUAGUGGUGAAAUGCGUAGAUAUCGGGAGGAACACCAGUGGCGAAGGCGACUUCCUGGCCUGUUCUUGACGCUGAGGCGCGAAAGCUAGGGGAGCAAACGGG
This 253-nucleotide ribosomal RNA is filed under the name uncultured bacterium. RNAcentral describes it as "partial 16S ribosomal RNA". It matches the Rfam family "Bacterial small subunit ribosomal RNA", at positions 524 to 776 of the family's 1533-position model. The record is from RNAcentral.